ACUAUGGCCGAAAAAAUUCUUUCUAAGAAAAGAAAAUCCAGCAAUAAUGAAAACUUACAGACUCUUCAGCAAAAGGGAAUUGAAGAAAUAAAAGUCUUUUAAGCAGCUAUAAGCAAUGAAAUAACAGAAAUACGCAAUGACAAUAAGCAUUUGAGAGAUGAAAUUGCCCUACUUAAAGAUACUUUUUGUACACAAAUGGACGGAGUGUUAAGAGUAUUGGCAGAGCAAAAUACCUCACUGUAUCAACUUUCAAAAAAUUUGUACGCGAAACCUUUGUAUAUUGGUAGCUUCCCCAUCAAGACGGAGGAGGAGCUAGAAAAACUGGAAGGAAUCAUAACUGAUGAAAAAAAAUGAAAUGGCUGCAUCAGUACAAGGUCUUAUAAAAAAUGGAGGAUUUGAAAAAAAUAUGGACUGCAUUUUUUCGACGGAAUUUAUUUUAGAUACUAAUUUAGACGGAAAGCAGGGGAAAAAAAGGCUUCUAAACUAUACGAAAAUUAUGGGAGUUUUAUAUGGGGCAGUUGAGAAGGACGGAAUAAAUGAAAAAGCCUUUCUUCACGCUUUAAGGACAGGUCUUAGACGCGUCAAAAAUCGACAUUUUAAAAAUAUUUGUGUUAACAAAAAAGCUCUGUCAGAACAAAAUGAAUAGUUUUACUUCCCUAAUUACGUAAUUUUUUAU
RNAcentral lists this unclassified non-coding RNA (676 nucleotides) under Rhagoletis pomonella (apple maggot). Its description in RNAcentral is "uncharacterized LOC118753429, transcript variant X1". Lineage: Eukaryota; Metazoa; Arthropoda; Insecta; Diptera; Tephritidae. The record is from RNAcentral.